UAGGGAGACCUAUUUACAUCUAGACUGAACCAAUACAGAAUUAGGUCAGGUGUAAGUCAUCCCAAGGUCGAACGAGGAAUAUUGGAAAGCUUUCAAACUAAGUCAGGUUCUGAUUUAAACAACAAAGGGCCAUUAGCUCAGUUGGUUAGAGCGCACGGCUGAUAACCGUGAGGUCACUGGUUCGUGUCCAGUAUGGCCCACUUGAGAAACCUUUGGUGUAAAAGCUAAGGAUAACUCUGGGGAUAUAGCUCAGUUGGUAGAGCGCCUGCUUUGCACGCAGGAAGUCAGGAGUUCGAAUCUCCUUAUCUCCACCAAACUAAGACAGACCAACAAAAGCAAAAGCAAGAGUUUAGCAACUCAUCUAGUCAGGAAACAAACCGACAACUAGAGAGACUGCUAAAUUCUAGCGAGAGCAAAGAAUUUAGAAAGAACCUUGAAAACUGCAUAGUAAUAGUAAUAAGAAGCAAGUAGAUCCAAAGUGGAAACACAGA
Molecule: transfer RNA, 491 nt
Filed under: Cyanobium sp. ULC068
Lineage: Bacteria; Bacillati; Cyanobacteriota; Cyanophyceae; Synechococcales; Prochlorococcaceae
Description: partial 16S-23S ribosomal RNA intergenic spacer
Rfam family: tRNA (bases 239-311)
Source: RNAcentral